This is a long non-coding RNA of Lates calcarifer (barramundi perch), 2805 nucleotides long. RefSeq lists it as uncharacterized. The transcript has 3 exons. The record is from RefSeq and is a predicted model, not a curated record. Lineage: Eukaryota; Metazoa; Chordata; Actinopteri; Centropomidae.
AAAAGGGAAAAGUAGACAAGGGGGGAGAGAAAGAGGCAGAAAGGAAAAGGAAAUCAUGAGUGAUAUCUCUGUUUUUAUUGUUUGAACUGAAGAGGAACUUCCCUUUAAUCACCUUCUCCUUUCUUGUCCUAAAUUUAGAUUUACAAUACAGCAGUUAUGACCAUAAAAAUGCUGUACUACUAAACUGUACUACUUCUUUGUGGAUGUAUGUCUGCAGUAAAUUGGGGGGAACAAAAAACUUUUCAUAUAUGCAGCUGAAACGCAAAAAAUCUUUAAAGAGAAAACAACUAGUCAAAUACAGAGUUUACGUAAUAGAAAGUGAGUGUGUGACUGAACUAGAUCACAGAAUUAGGUUAAGUGUGCAUGUGUUUCAGGUGUCCAUAUAUUUCUAUUCCUGUACUAAGUUCUUCUUCAGUGGUGAACUUCCCCUAAAUGUACUUCUGCUUUCUCAACAGGCCCCAGCUGUGUGUGUGUGUGUGUGUGUGUGUGUGUGUGUGUGUGUGGUGUCAGAGUUCCUUAUGCACACACGCUCACACAUAAUGACAGGUGACGCACUGAGUCCUUGACAAUGGCAGGUGAACAGUUGUUUGUGAUCUGUCACUGUGUGUGUGUGUGUGUGUGUGUGGCAGAGUUUAAACAAGAGCGAAAGGAUUGCAGGGAUCCAAUUGUCCUUUCCACAUGCAGGCAUAAAUAUACUGUCAUCACAAGGCUUUGUGUGUGUGUGUGUGGGGGGGGUUUAAUGCUGCUCUGUGCUCAUACCAGUGUUUGACAGCAAAACAAUGGCACACACACACACACACACACACACACAUUUUUUAUUCUUUUUUCUGCCCUUUCUCCCAGGGGCAAGAUCAUACAAAGACACUAAACAACCUGACGAGGAUCCUCUCCCCCUCUCUCUUUUUUUCUUCUUCUUUGUCUCUUUCUGCAUGCAGAUGCACAUACACACACACGCAAAGCUGACUCUUCCAGACGAGUACAUGCUCCUAUACACCCCAACAAACUCACAGACACGCGUAGAGGACAGCAGAGUGCCGUCUGGGUGUAACCCCGUCACGCGUGGCAGGACAUGCCAAGGUUAGCCGCCACCAGAACGGAUGAAUCACCCUCCACACACGCACGCACGCGCACACACACACACACAUACACACCCUAAAUGAUUCCCUGGACUCUCGUAUACUCUGUCUACCCUCACCUACCCUCUCUCUCUUUUUAGCUGGCCCCUUGAGACCACAGUUAUUUCAAUGAGGCCCUCUGUCACUGUCUUGCUAUAGACACUACUGUACACACACACACACACACACACACACACACACACACACACACCUACUCUCUCUCAUCACACACAAAUCAAAGUUUAAACUUUCCAGGUAAUGUCUAUGUUUAUGCCAUUAGGAUAGAUUCCUGAGUGAGACACUCAGAAGCCAAUAGUUUUGCCAGAUCAUCUAAAUUGUGUUUUAUUUGGAGGUGAAACCAAAACUUAGCGCUUUCAAAAUGUUAGUGAUAAUCCCUCAUUGCAAAGUUGAAUGAGGAACUCACUAACUGAUUAACCUGGCAAUUUAAAACCAGUAUAGGUUAUUUAAUUCUCUUGCCCAGUUUGUCGUCUUUUUACUGAUGCUGUCACAUCUGAGAUCUUAGCAAUUGGUGAACACAGUCUUACUAUUAGAGACAGGAACGAUGGCCAGAGCUACAAAAAUAAGACCCGGUUGCAAUGAAUGAGAAUUGACCCUAAAACCUCACCAGGUGCCAAAACAUUAAUAUAAUUUUGAAAGGAUAAAACUCAUUGUUUUGCCUCUACAAGAAAACAGAGAAAGCCCCAAAGUCAAGCUGCUGUUUUUAAUAGCUGCUGUGAAACUGCCCACUGGGACAAAUAAAAGUUGAAACCUGAGCUUGAUCUUGAGGAUGAAUGUGCCUUUGAGGCGUCCUCUCCCUCUUGGAUUACACCCCCUCAUCCCUUAGUUGCUCAAAUUUGCUCUCAUCUUUAAAAAAAAGACAAACCCACUCUUUUUAAUGUCUUCUCAGGACAGUUUCUCUUAAUUUUUUUUUAAAGAUCUUUGACCUCUUUACUUUUAAAUUGGUGAUGUUCAAAUUUAAGCUUCACUCUGGUGAGGGGCAUCAACUAAACACCCAGAUGAAGGGAUGUAGCUAUGAAAUCUGGGUUCUGUGAUGGAGUAUUGUUCUUCAUCAACUGUACUUCCUAUCCAUUUUUUGUGAUUGAUAUCUCAAAUUGCAAAGAGCUGUAAAACAAGAAACCAACAUGCACAGUGGGACAGUAAGAGAUUCAGUGACCUUGACCUAGAAGGGCCCUGGCCUGAGUGUCUCUGUGUUGCAGCGUGGUUACUGCCGUGUUCAGCAAGAUGAUUGGUGUGUUUUAAAAAUGUUUCAGGAUGGCGUGCGUCAUCAUUGCGGCGGCGAGAGGACUCAAAGUGCUGAAACAAGACUACGAUGGGGAGAGGAAAGGACACAGCUGAUUCGCAGAGAGGAUCUCCUUCUGUCUCCACCUCAUCCUUGUCAUCUUCCCUUCUUGGAUCCGUCUGUCCCAACUUCCCUCCGAUCAACCGUCUGGAGAAAAGCUAAUAACAGUCCAGGAGUCCCCGUCAGGACCCCUAGGCGUCCCUGUGCCUGCCUGCCAAAAACGUCUGCAUCUCCUGGACCCCCUCGAGGCAGAGGACAGCCAAAUGUCACUUGGACCCUCUACAGAGUGGUGAGAGGGGGACAGGAAGAGGCGAAUGGGAGAGUGGGGUGGUGGAGGAGGAAGGAGGAGGGAGGGAGGAGAAGGGGAGUUGAAUGAGUGAGAGACAAAAG